Molecule: non-coding RNA, 27 nt
Filed under: Rattus norvegicus (Norway rat)
Lineage: Eukaryota; Metazoa; Chordata; Mammalia; Rodentia; Muridae
Source: RNAcentral
UACGCUGGUGACAAGGAGGUCAAGGUG